This 482-nucleotide ribosomal RNA is filed under the name uncultured bacterium. Its description in RNAcentral is "partial 16S ribosomal RNA". It matches the Rfam family "Bacterial small subunit ribosomal RNA", at positions 30 to 507 of the family's 1533-position model. The record is from RNAcentral.
AUUGAACGCUGGCGGCAUGCCUUACACAUGCAAGUCGAACGGUAACGGGCCUUCGGGUGCCGACGAGUGGCGAACGGGUGAGUAAUACAUCGGAACGUGCCCGAUCGUGGGGGAUAACGAGGCGAAAGCUUUGCUAAUACCGCAUACGAUCUACGGAUGAAAGCAGGGGACCGCAAGGCCUUGCGCGGACGGAGCGGCCGAUGGCAGAUUAGGUAGUUGGUGGGAUAAAAGCUUACCAAGCCGACGAUCUGUAGCUGGUCUGAGAGGAUGAUCAGCCACACUGGGACUGAGACACGGCCCAGACUCCUACGGGAGGCAGUAGUGGGGAAUUUUGGACAAUGGGCGCAAGCCUGAUCCAGCCAUGCCGCGUGCAGGAUGAAGGCCUUCGGGUUGUAAACUGCUUUUGUACGGAACGAAAAGCCUUCUUUUAAUACAGGAGGGUCAUGACGGUACCGUAAGAAUAAGCACCGGCUAACUACGUG